UACAGGGGGUGCAAGCGUUGUUCGGAAUUAUUGGGCGUAAAGCGCGUGUAGGCGGCUUUGCAAGUCGGGUGUGAAAUCCCUCAGCUUAACUGAGGAAGUGCGCCCGAAACUGCCGAGCUUGAGUACCGGAGAGGGUGGCGGAAUUCCCCAAGUAGAGGUGAAAUUCGUAGAUAUGGGGAGGAACACCGGUUGCGAAGGCGGCCACCUGGACGGAUACUGACGCUGAGACGCGAAAGCGUGGGGAGCAAACAGG
RNAcentral lists this ribosomal RNA (253 nucleotides) under uncultured bacterium. Its description in RNAcentral is "partial 16S ribosomal RNA". It matches the Rfam family "Bacterial small subunit ribosomal RNA", at positions 524 to 776 of the family's 1533-position model. The record is from RNAcentral.